Molecule: small nucleolar RNA, 89 nt
Organism: Cynara cardunculus var. scolymus (artichoke)
Lineage: Eukaryota; Viridiplantae; Streptophyta; Magnoliopsida; Asterales; Asteraceae
Product: small nucleolar RNA Z159/U59
Exons: 1
Source: RefSeq, a predicted model, not a curated record
GCCUCUGAGGAUGAUUCAAAUAAAACUUUCGUUCUUCCGAGGAUAACAUCCAUGCGGAAACAAUUAUUGGAGACCUGAACUGAAGAGGC